This 770-nucleotide ribosomal RNA is filed under the name uncultured bacterium. RNAcentral describes it as "bacterial SSU rRNA". It matches the Rfam family "Bacterial small subunit ribosomal RNA", at positions 8 to 796 of the family's 1533-position model. The record is from RNAcentral.
AGAGUUUGAUCCUGGCUCAGGACGAACGCUGGCGGCGUGCUUAACACAUGCAAGUCGAGCGGAAAGGCCCUUCGGGGUACUCGAGCGGCGAACGGGUGAGUAACACGUGAGCAACCUGCCCCUAGCUCUGGGAUAGCUCCGGGAAACCGGGAUUAAUACCAGAUACGACCACUCUAGACAUCUUUUGUGGUGGAAAGGAUUCCGGCUAGGGAUGGGCUCGCGGCCUAUCAGCUUGUUGGUGGGGUAACGGCCUACCAAGGCGACGACGGGUAGCCGGCCUGAGAGGGCGACCGGCCACACUGGGACUGAGACACGGCCCAGACUCCUACGGGAGGCAGCAGUGGGGAAUAUUGCGCAAUGGGCGAAAGCCUGACGCAGCGACGCCGCGUGGGGGAUGAAGGCCUUCGGGUUGUAAACCCCUUUCAGCAGGGACGAAGCGAAAGUGACGGUACCUGCAGAAGAAGCGCCGGCUAACUACGUGCCAGCAGCCGCGGUAACACGUAGGGCGCAAGCGUUGUCCGGAAUUAUUGGGCGUAAAGAGCUCGUAGGCGGUCUGUUGCGUCCGCUGUGAAAACUCGGGGCUUAACCCCGAGCCUGCAGUGGAUACGGGCAGACUAGAGGUAGGUAGGGGAGAAUGGAAUUCCCGGUGUAGCGGUGAAAUGCGCAGAUAUCAGGAGGAACACCGGUGGCGAAGGCGGUUCUCUGGGCCUUACCUGACGCUGAGGAGCGAAAGCGUGGGGAGCGAACAGGAUUAGAUACCCCGGUAGUCC